GAAUGAAUAUGGGGGGACCAUCCUCCAAGGCUAAAUACUCCUGACUGACCGAUAGUGAACCAGUACCGUGAGGGAAAGGCGAAAAGAACCCCGGCGAGGGGAGUGAAAAAGAACCUGAAACCGUGUACGUACAAGCAGUGGGAGCCCCACCACUAAGCCAGUGGUGAACUCCACAUCCGCAUCCUUUGCUGAGGAUACGGUUAACGGAGCGAAAGCGACGUUCAACCGCAAAACAAGCAGAGGGGGCUUAGUGGUGGGGUGACUGCGUACCUUUUGUAUAAUGGGUCAGCGACUUAUAUUCUGUAGCAAGGUUAACCGAAUAGGGGAGCCGGAGGGAAACCGAGUCUUAAUUGGGCGUUAAGUUGCAGGGUAUAGACCCGAAACCCGGUGAUCUAGC
This 397-nucleotide ribosomal RNA is filed under the name Salmonella enterica. RNAcentral's name for it is "partial 23S ribosomal RNA". It matches the Rfam family "Bacterial large subunit ribosomal RNA", at positions 436 to 734 of the family's 2925-position model. The record is from RNAcentral. Lineage: Bacteria; Pseudomonadati; Pseudomonadota; Gammaproteobacteria; Enterobacterales; Enterobacteriaceae.